Molecule: transfer RNA, 72 nt
Filed under: Marmota monax (woodchuck)
Lineage: Eukaryota; Metazoa; Chordata; Mammalia; Rodentia; Sciuridae
Description: tRNA.Ala
Rfam family: tRNA
About the family: Transfer RNA (tRNA) molecules are approximately 80 nucleotides in length. Their secondary structure includes four short double-helical elements and three loops (D, anti-codon, and T loops).
Source: RNAcentral
AGGUUGUGGCUCAGUGGUAGAGCACUCACCUAGCAUGUGUGAGGCAUUGGGUUCAAUCCUCAGUAUCACUUA